GAUGAACGCUAGCGGCAGGCCUAAUACAUGCAAGUCAAGGGGAUAGCAAUAUCACCGGCGGACGGGUGCGUAACGCGUACACAACGUGCCCAAGGGCGGAGGAAAGCGGGCGGGAAACUGCCGGUAAUACUCCAUGGUGUUGUUGAGUGGCAUCACUUAACAACUAAAGUACAAGCGCCCUUGGAUCGGUGUGCGUUCGAUUAGCUAGUUGGCGGGUAACGCCCACCAAGGCUUCGAUCGAUAGGGGGUGUGAGAGCAUGACCCCCCCANACGGGUACUGAGACACGGACCCGACUCCUACGGGAGGCAGCAGUAAGGAAUAUUGGACAAGUGGGCGGAAGCCUGAUCCAGCCAUGCCGCGUGAAGGACGAAGGCGCUCAGCGUUGUAAACUUCUUUUGGAUGGGAACAAUAACUCCG
This 418-nucleotide ribosomal RNA is filed under the name uncultured bacterium. RNAcentral's name for it is "bacterial SSU rRNA". It matches the Rfam family "Bacterial small subunit ribosomal RNA", at positions 28 to 457 of the family's 1533-position model. The record is from RNAcentral.